Molecule: ribosomal RNA, 481 nt
Filed under: uncultured bacterium
Lineage: Bacteria
Description: partial 16S ribosomal RNA
Rfam family: Bacterial small subunit ribosomal RNA
Source: RNAcentral
AUUGAACGCUGGCGGCAUGCUUUACACAUGCAAGUCGAACGGUAACAGGCCGCAAGGUGCUGACGAGUGGCGAACGGGUGAGUAAUGCAUCGGAACGUGCCCAGUCGUGGGGGAUAACUACUCGAAAGAGUAGCUAAUACCGCAUACGAUCUAUGGAUGAAAGCGGGGGACCGUAAGGCCUCGCGCGAUUGGAGCGGCCGAUGUCAGAUUAGGUAGUUGGUGGGGUAAAGGCUCACCAAGCCAACGAUCUGUAGCUGGUCUGAGAGGACGACCAGCCACACUGGGACUGAGACACGGCCCAGACUCCUACGGGAGGCAGCAGUGGGGAAUUUUGGACAAUGGGCGCAAGCCUGAUCCAGCAAUGCCGCGUGCAGGAAGAAGGCCUUCGGGUUGUAAACUGCUUUUGUACGGAACGAAACGGCUCUGGUUAAUACCCGGGGCUAAUGACGGUACCGUAAGAAGAAGCACCGGCGAACUACGU